RNAcentral lists this microRNA (20 nucleotides) under Plutella xylostella (diamondback moth). RNAcentral's name for it is "pxy-miR-8545". Lineage: Eukaryota; Metazoa; Arthropoda; Insecta; Lepidoptera; Plutellidae. The record is from miRBase by way of RNAcentral.
GGUGCAGGGCCUGGUCGAUG